RNAcentral lists this ribosomal RNA (497 nucleotides) under uncultured bacterium. RNAcentral describes it as "partial 16S ribosomal RNA". It matches the Rfam family "Bacterial small subunit ribosomal RNA", at positions 28 to 507 of the family's 1533-position model. The record is from RNAcentral.
GACGAACGCUGGCGGCGUGCCUAAUACAUGCAAGUAGAACGCUGAAGAGAGGAGCUUGCUCUUCUUGGAUGAGUUGCGAACGGGUGAGUAACGCGUAGGUAACCUGCUUUGUAGCGGGGGAUAACUAUUGGAAACGAUAGCUAAUACCGCAUAACACUGGAUGCCACAUGCCAUUUAUUUGAAAGGGGCAAUUGCCCCACUACAAGAUGGACCUGCGUUGUAUUAGCUAGUAGGUGAGGUAAUGGCUCACCUAGGCGACGAUACAUAGCCGACCUGAGAGGGUGAUCGGCCACACUGGGACUGAGACACGGCCCAGACUCCUACGGGAGGCAGCAGUAGGGAAUCUUCGGCAAGGGGGGCAACCCUGACCGAGCAACGCCGCGUGAGGGAAGAAGGGUGUCGGAUCGUAAAGCUCGGUUGUAAGUCAAGAACGGGUGUGAGAGUGGAAAGUUCACACUGUGACGGUAGCUUACCAGAAAGGGACGGCCAACUACGUG